Molecule: ribosomal RNA, 432 nt
Filed under: uncultured bacterium
Lineage: Bacteria
Description: bacterial SSU rRNA
Rfam family: Bacterial small subunit ribosomal RNA
Source: RNAcentral
ACCGAGGACCCGCGUCCGAUACUGUCGAACUUGAGUGCAGGAGAGGAGAGCGGAAUUCCGCAUGUAGCGGUGAAAUGCGUAGAGAUGCGGAGGAACACCAGUGGCGAAGGCGGCUACCUGGACCAACACUGACACUGAGGCACGAAAGCGUGGGUAGCAAACAGGAUUAGAUACCCUGGUAGUCCACGCCCUAAACGAUGGGUACUAGACGUCGGGAAGUUUAUCUUCUUGGUGUCGCAGCUAACGCAAUAAGUACCCCGCCUGGGGAGUACGGUCGCAAGAUUAAAACUCAAAGGAAUUGACGGGGGCCCGCACAAGCGGUGGAGCAUGUGGUUUAAUUCGAUGCAACGCGCAAAACCUUACCUGCCCUUGACAUCUGGAGAACUUGGCAGAGAUGCCUUGGUGCCUUCGGGAACUCCAAGACAGGUGCUG